RNAcentral lists this ribosomal RNA (137 nucleotides) under uncultured eukaryote. RNAcentral describes it as "partial 18S ribosomal RNA". It matches the Rfam family "Eukaryotic small subunit ribosomal RNA", at positions 1299 to 1458 of the family's 1831-position model. The record is from RNAcentral.
UGGUGGAGUGAUUUGUCUGGUUAAUUCCGAUAACGAACGAGACCUUAACCUGCUAAAUAGGGCUGCGAACCUGCGUUCGUGGGCCCUUCUUAGAGGGACUGACUACGUUUAGUGGUCGGAAGUUUGAGGCAAUAACA